AUGCAGUCGAGGGGUAUAGGUUUUCGGACCUAGAGACCGGCGCACGGGUGCGUAACGCGUAUGCAAUCUACCUUUUACAGAGGGAUAGCCCAGAGAAAUUUGGAUUAAUACCUCAUAGCAUUGCAGAAUGGCAUCAUUCAGCAAUUAAAGUCACAACGGUAAAAGAUGAGCAUGCGUCCCAUUAGCUUGUUGGUAAGGUAACGGCUUACCAAGGCAACGAUGGGUAGGGGUCCUGAGAGGGAGAUCCCCCACACUGGUACUGAGACACGGACCAGACUCCUACGGGAGGCAGCAGUGAGGAAUAUUGGUCAAUGGGCGCAAGCCUGAACCAGCCAUGCCGCGUGCAGGAUGAAGCAUCUAUGGUGUGUAAACUGCUUUUGUACGAGAAGAAACACUCCUUCGUGAAGGAGCUUGACGGUAUCGUAAGAAUAAGGACCGGCUAACUCCGUGCCAGCAGCCGCGGUAAUACGGAGGGUCCAAGCGUUAUCCGGAAUCAUUGGGUUUAAAGGGUCCGUAGGCGGUUUUGUAAGUCAGUGGUGAAAGCCCAUCGCUCAACGGUGGAACGGCCAUUGAUACUGCAAGACUUGAAUUAUUAGGAAGUAACUAGAAUAUGUAGUGUAGCGGUGAAAUGCUUAGAUAUUACAUGGAAUACCAAUUGCGAAGGCAGGUUACUACUAAUGGAUUGACGCUGAUGGACGAAAGCGUGGGUAGCGAACAGGAUUAGAUACCCUGGUAGUCCACGCCGUANACGAUGGAUACUAGCUGUUCGGAGCAAUCUGAGUGGCUAAGCGAAAGUGAUAAGUAUCCCACCUGGGGAGUACGUUCGCAAGAAUGAAACUCAAAGGAAUUGACGGGGGCCCGCACAAGCGGUGGAGCAUGUGGUUUAAUUCGAUGAUACGCGAGGAACCUUACAAAGCUUAAAUGUAGAUUGACCG
Molecule: ribosomal RNA, 935 nt
Filed under: uncultured bacterium
Lineage: Bacteria
Description: bacterial SSU rRNA
Rfam family: Bacterial small subunit ribosomal RNA
Source: RNAcentral